GAUGAACGCUAGCGGCAGGCCUAAUACAUGCAAGUCGAACGGGAUUGAGGAGCUUGCUCCUCAUGAGAGUGGCGCACGGGUGCGUAACACGUAUGCAACCUACCUUAAUCAGGGGAAUAGCCUCUCGAAAGAGAGAUUAAGACCGCAUAAAAUCACACUAUGGCAUCAUAGAAUGAUCAAAUAUUUAUAGGAUUAAGAUGGGCAUGCGGAACAUUAGCUAGUUGGUAAGGUAACGGCUUACCAAGGCUACGAUGUUUAGGGGAUCUGAGAGGAUGGCCCCCCACACUGGUACUGAGACACGGACCAGACUCCUACGGGAGGCAGCAGUAAGGAAUAUUGGUCAAUGGGCGGAAGCCUGAACCAGCCAUGCCGCGUGCAGGAAGACGGCCCUACGGGUUGUAAACUGCUUUUGUACCGGAAUAAACCUACUUACGUGUAAGUAGCUGAAUGUACGGUAAGAAUAAGGAUCGGCUAACUCCGUGCCAGCCGCCGCGGUAA
Molecule: ribosomal RNA, 498 nt
Filed under: uncultured bacterium
Lineage: Bacteria
Description: partial 16S ribosomal RNA
Rfam family: Bacterial small subunit ribosomal RNA
Source: RNAcentral